Molecule: ribosomal RNA, 524 nt
Filed under: uncultured bacterium
Lineage: Bacteria
Description: partial 16S ribosomal RNA
Rfam family: Bacterial small subunit ribosomal RNA
Source: RNAcentral
GACGAACGCUGGCGGCGUGCUUAACACAUGCAAGUCGAACGAGAAGAGGGAAAGCUUGCUUUCGAAAGUCGAGUGGCAAACGGGUGAGUAACGCGUAGACAACCUGCCUUUGAGAUGGGGACAACAGUUCGAAAGGACUGCUAAUACCGAAUGUUGUAUAUUUUCCACAUGGAAGAUAUAUUAAAGAUGGCCUCUAUUUAUAAGCUAUCGCUCAAAGAUGGGUCUGCGUCUGAUUAGCUAGUUGGUGGGGUAACGGCCUACCAAGGCGACGAUCAGUAGACGGUCUGAGAGGAUGAACGGCCACAUUGGGACUGAGACACGGCCCAGACUCCUACGGGAGGCAGCAGUGGGGAAUCUUCCACAAUGGACGAAAGUCUGAUGGAGCAACGCCGCGUGAGUGAAGAAGGGUUUCGGCUCGUAAAGCUCUGUUGUCGGGGACGAAUGUGCAUUACUUGAAUAAAGUAGUGUAAUGACGGUACCUGACGAGGAAGCCACGGCUAACUACGUGCCAGCCGCCGCGGUAA